RNAcentral lists this transfer RNA (93 nucleotides) under Mycolicibacterium phlei. RNAcentral describes it as "tRNA-Pro(ggg)". The record is from RNAcentral. Lineage: Bacteria; Bacillati; Actinomycetota; Actinomycetes; Mycobacteriales; Mycobacteriaceae.
UUGCUCUUGGUCAGUGGUCUGCGUGGUCGGUGGCCUGGGGGGCUACUUGCCGGGCUGAGCGUAUUGGCGCGGUUUCGGUUCUCGCAAGGUGGU